RNAcentral lists this ribosomal RNA (253 nucleotides) under uncultured bacterium. Its description in RNAcentral is "partial 16S ribosomal RNA". It matches the Rfam family "Bacterial small subunit ribosomal RNA", at positions 524 to 776 of the family's 1533-position model. The record is from RNAcentral.
UACGUAGGGUGCAAGCGUUGUCCGGAAUUAUUGGGCGUAAAGAGCUCGUAGGCGGUUCGUCGCGUCUGCUGUGAAAACUCGGGGCUUAACUCCGGGCCUGCAGUGGGUACGGGCAGACUAGAGUGCGGUAGGGGGCCAUGGAAUUCCCGGUGUAGUGGUGGAAUGCGUAGAGAUCGGGAGGAACACCCGUGGCGAAGGCGGUGGCCUGGACCGAUGCUGACGCUGAGGCGCGAAAGCGUGGGGAGCGAUCCGG